UUGGCUGAAGCUUGGCUGGGAUGUCUGAUGGAGCGGAAUGGCUCUCUGUCUCAUCGAUCCUAGGAGAAGCUCGGAUAUUUUUGAGGUUGCUAACGGGUCUACUAUAUUUGGGUGCCUAGAGCGCUGAUGCUGCAGGCAGGAGUCAUACGUUGUAGAAGCUCGGAUGGGGACUUUCUGUUGGGAAAGUCUGAUUUCAUGAAAAAUCUGGUAGAGGGUCGGCCGGUGGUGGACUUCGGGUGGUGUUGGAGAGGUUCGUCCGCUGGAGGAGUCUGGAGGAUCCUGUGGAAGUCCGAAGGGCGUUGUUGAAGUC
Molecule: long non-coding RNA, 310 nt
Filed under: Elaeis guineensis (African oil palm)
Lineage: Eukaryota; Viridiplantae; Streptophyta; Magnoliopsida; Arecales; Arecaceae
Description: long non-coding RNA (EGUI_LNC064960)
Source: RNAcentral